This 2421-nucleotide unclassified non-coding RNA is filed under the name Hevea brasiliensis (rubber tree). Lineage: Eukaryota; Viridiplantae; Streptophyta; Magnoliopsida; Malpighiales; Euphorbiaceae. The record is from RNAcentral.
AAAAUCAUUACCCUUCAAAAAAUCAUUCCAGUAUUAGUACACUCUGUGGAAAUUUUUGAAGCAGUCCUAAUUCGUAGGUCUGAUUAUAGAGGAAUCUUAGCCAUGAUUUGUGACUUCUACGUUUUUCUUUCUUUCCUUUAGUUACACCACAAUAGUCCAUCCCCAAAAUUCCAUCUUCUCAACAAAACUUGUAAAUUUCCAACACAUGAAACCCUAAAAUAUACAAUUUCCCCAAUUUAUAAUUAUGGUUAGUGCUCAUCUUAUAUCAAUCAUUAGAGUUAGUGCUCAUAUUAUAUCAUUUGUUAGAGUUAAAGAUCAGACAACUUUGUUGCUAGAAAGAACUUUAACCAAUGUGACAAAAUCUUGAUAAGUUACUUAGAAUUCUUUACUUUUAAUUUCACAAGCAAUUAAAUAUGAAUUCAGGAAUCACUUAGCUCCAUCAAACUAUAAAAAAUAUUCCAUUGAAAAACUAUUUAACCAGCACAUCAACUAGCAUCAAAUUCCUUCUCCAAACCUCCGUUUAGAACAGAUAGCAACUAUAAAGCAGCUCAAAACCAAAUUUCUUGUCAUCUUCUUGUGAUUUCUAACGGUCAUAUCUGCAAGAAUCCCGAAGCCCUAAAACAUUAUCCUUUCAGCACUCACUUUGCAGCUAUUAAAUCCUUGAGAAGAUUUUCUCCUGAAACCUAUAUCAAGGUUGGGGGGUCUAGAUUACCUUUGUUGUUUUACGUAUUUUCAAUCUUACUUUUGAGUCGUCUAUUUUUAUUAAGCCUCUAUUCAUAGUCUAAAGAGUUGUUUAGUAAAACCAGCUCAAUUUCGUAUUCAAAGCCCAUGUUCUUUUUAUAAUGGAAUUUAUUCUUUCAUUUAUUAGUCAAUUUGAGAGAAUUAUUUCUAACAACUUUUCUAGAAAAUGUUGUUUAUUUGGAACCAUGUGCAGCAACCUUAUUCUGGAACAAUUGCUUAGAUUUCCACGAUGUAAUUGCGAAAGAUUGUAUUUCUUUCCCUUAAUUUUCACACAACCAUUAAAUCUGAAUUCCUGAAACUAAUUGUAGCACUUAGAGCAUUAAUGUUGUGAAUUUGGAACUGAUUCUUAUAUCUUUCACAAAAUAUAGUCAAAAGUGCAUCAGGUGAAUGGCUAGGUGAAAGAUGACAUUGACCUAGUGCCUUUAUUAAGGCACAGGUACCUCGUGAGAGAAACCAAGUGCUACUGUGUGCACAUAGUUAAAAGGACUGAUUGCUGAAAAAGAAAAGGGCAUUACCAAAUUAAAGUUUUAUUAAGAUGGAUGGAACAUGGAACUUAAUAUAGACGUGUUCAUAACUGAGUAGAAGCUUCACUCUUGACUAAGUAUAGACAUGUUCAUGACUUAAUACAAGUCCAUCGUUAUGCAGAUGUCCUUUUAAGAUAAAGAUGAGAAUACUCAGUAGAGCACUUAGUGCGUCCAUGUUCUAUCUUGUUCACAGGAGUUUGCCACAUAAACAAAUAAAAAAACAUGCAGACAAGAAUCCUUUUCCCAAUCUUUUUGGACUUGCUUACCAGUUUAAGGAAAAAUGAGCAUCCUCUCUAAAUGAACAUUCUAUACUCAUAAGAAUUUUUACAAAGUAGAAACAGUUCAUAAUUAAAAUAGUAUAAAACUGAGUACAUAACUUAAUUACUGGAACAGAGCAUUUGACUAUCUUGAAAUGCAAUACCUAGGAAGAAGCUUGACAUGGGAACUAGCACAAUUCAUAGGUUAGGCACGUUAUAAAGGGGCAUAACUAGACAAAAGAUUCAUACGAAUUUUCAUGAUCAACUACAGGCAUGGAUUGAUGAAUAAAUGCAUAAUCACAUAGACAUACAAUAUUGAAAUGCAAAAAAACAAAAACCAAAAUGUAACAUGUAAAGCAUAUCUCCAUUUAUGCAUUGUAAAUUGCAAUAGUGUAAAGAAAUUAAUAGUUGUAUGCUUUUGUCUUAUAAUGCAGUGAUCAUACUUCUGGUAAGGUAGUCAUAAGACCUCACAUAAAAAAGAUGGAAACUAUAGAAUAUGGCGUGAAAAUAACAAAUACAUUGCAACAUCUUUUUAGAUAAGAGAAAGUAUAAAGCUUGUACCCUGGAGAAGCAGAAGCAGUGGACAAAAUGGGAGAUAGGGGAUGUCUUCCGGGUAAUGGUAUCAGCAACGUCUUUAAAGCAAACAUUUGAAGGUCCGUGGCCAACCCAUUCAACCUUUUGAUGUCAGCCACCUCAACGCCAUACUUGAUGGCCACACCAGCCAGAGUGUCCUUCUUGGAGACCUGAUGCUGUAUGAAAUUCUUACUAUUAUUAGCAAUUCCUCCUCCUCCUGAUGAACUGCCAUUUGAAGGGGACAUAUCUGCCUCUCUUAUUCAGGCAAAUCAGUUUAAACUGCUUCCUUGUUCUUGAAACCGUAGAGAGAGAGAGAGAGAGAGGGU